This 459-nucleotide ribosomal RNA is filed under the name uncultured bacterium. Its description in RNAcentral is "partial 16S ribosomal RNA". It matches the Rfam family "Bacterial small subunit ribosomal RNA", at positions 338 to 795 of the family's 1533-position model. The record is from RNAcentral.
CCUACGGGUGGCUGCAGUGAGGAAUAUUGGUCAAUGGGCGUAAGCCUGAACCAGCCAAGUCGCGUGAGGGAUGAAGGUUCUAUGGAUCGUAAACCUCUUUUAUAAGGGAAUAAAGUGCGGGACGUGUCCCUUUUUGUAUGUACUUUAUGAAUAAGGAUCGGCUAACUCCGUGCCAGCAGCCGCGGUAAUACGGAGGAUCCGAGCGUUAUCCGGAUUUAUUGGGUUUAAAGGGUGCGUAGGCGGAUCGUUAAGUCAGUGGUAAAAUUUGGGGGCUCAACCCCUUCCCGCCAUUGAAACUGGCGUUCUUGAGUGGAAGUGAGGUAUGCGGAAUGCGUGGUGUAGCGGUGAAAUGCAUAGAUAUCACGCAGAACCCCGAUUGCGAAGGCAGCAUGCCGACUUCCGACUGACGCUGAAGCACGAAAGCGUGGGGAUCGAACAGGAUUAGAUACCCGAGUAGUC